RNAcentral lists this ribosomal RNA (253 nucleotides) under uncultured bacterium. Its description in RNAcentral is "partial 16S ribosomal RNA". It matches the Rfam family "Bacterial small subunit ribosomal RNA", at positions 524 to 776 of the family's 1533-position model. The record is from RNAcentral.
UACGUAGGGGGCUAGCGUUGUUCGGAAUUACUGGGCGUAAAGCGCACGUAGGCGGAUAUUUAAGUCAGGGGUGAAAUCCCAGAGCUCAACUCUGGAACUGCCUUUGAUACUGGGUAUCUCGAGUAUGGAAGAGGUGAGUGGAAUUCCGAGUGUAGAGGUGAAAUUCGUAGAUAUUCGGAGGAACACCAGUGGCGAAGGCGGCUCACUGGUCCAUUACUGACGCUGAGGUGCGAAAGCGUGGGGAGCAAACAGG